Haemonchus placei is the source of this 72-nucleotide non-coding RNA. Lineage: Eukaryota; Metazoa; Nematoda; Chromadorea; Rhabditida; Trichostrongylidae. The record is from Rfam.
UGUGGUCCGGAGUUGGAGGGUUAUCCAUUCAGUCCCUUCGGGGAAUUUCCCUUCGACACAAACUCGACCACC